Molecule: long non-coding RNA, 538 nt
Filed under: Polistes fuscatus (common paper wasp)
Lineage: Eukaryota; Metazoa; Arthropoda; Insecta; Hymenoptera; Vespidae
Description: uncharacterized LOC122513381
Source: RNAcentral
UUUGUGAAUAUUAAUAAUAAGUCUUUUUUGAGGUUAAUUGAGUAAUCAUCAAUUUAGGUUAAAAAUAAAUAAACUGGAUUACAUGCUGUGCGAAUUUUUAUGCUUUAACCAUACGACAACAAUUUUCUGAUUUAAAUCUAAGAAUACCGAUGAAUUACAAUCGUUCUCUUUAUCUUGAUAUUAUAACAGACAGUUACUGUAACACGCCCAAGAAAAAGACUCCAUUUCAGCAUCGGAUCUAUGCAUAUAAAUUUCAAUUUCCAAUGGGUUAACGAUAUAAAAAUUUCUUUUAACUAAUGUCUCCUUCGUAGAGAAUUCAUGUGAAUUAUCAUGCGAAUAAAAUUCAAUCACAGUUACAAGAAAUAAGCAAGACAUGAAUGUGUUAAAAGAUGAUCAAUCAUUUUACUGAAAGAGAGAGAGCAGAGUAUUUUCAACAAUGAUAAGAUGAAGCCGACGAUACUAAAAUCAUGAAAGAUUUUGGAAGACACCGUCCUCUUUUUAUUCACACUGGGAAGAAACCAUGUGCAUUAAUAUUCUA